Molecule: small RNA, 762 nt
Filed under: Camellia sinensis
Lineage: Eukaryota; Viridiplantae; Streptophyta; Magnoliopsida; Ericales; Theaceae
Description: transcribed RNA
Source: RNAcentral
CAGUCCCCAGAUGGAGAUGUCUGCUUGUAUCUUUUUUAACUGUUUUAGUACAGCCUCCUCUUCGACUUGCUUCUCUUUCUGUCUCUCAGCUUCCUUAUCUUUCCCAGAUGUCUCUGGUUGGUCUAGGUGCGGGGGCUUGAAAUACCGUCCGCUUCUCGUCAUGUGGUCGACUUCUCCAAGGUACCAGGUGUUAUCGGGUUGGUUGUUCCCCCAAUCUUCGUCUGUAUGGGCAAGACAUAAAUCCUCAUCUUCCCACCACAUUCCAUCAGCAGCCGACAGACACCUGUCCGGCUCUGGUAUGACUGUUCUCGUACUCGCGGUACCUUUCACCCCUAUGCUCGCAGCAUUCUCUGUGCCUGCACACACAGCAAUUUCAGUCCCUACAUGGGCCUUUGCCUUUCUGAUUCUCGCGGGAUCUUCAAAUCUUUCUUGUUCCGACCGUAUCAACACAGCUGGCUGCUCAAUAAUUCCUGCAUUCAGAAUGCUCCAAUCUCUAGUGGAAUUCUUAACACCGGCGCUCUCCGGCGAUGUAUUCUGUUCUCUGACUCUUUCGACUAUAACCGACAUUCGUGCCCCUGUCGGACUCUGUCCUGGUUGGAACUCUUCCACUACAUCUGGUUGAUCAUCUAACCACCCAGUGGCCUCUGCUGAUUCCUCAUAGUCAAACUAGUUGAUUGCUGUGCCCUCUGGAUCUUGGUCACUGUAAAACUGGAGAUUGGCAAGGUCCUCCUCCACAGCCCUUAAAUCAUCUGUUCCCUGUCC